This 1346-nucleotide ribosomal RNA is filed under the name uncultured bacterium. RNAcentral describes it as "partial 16S ribosomal RNA". It matches the Rfam family "Bacterial small subunit ribosomal RNA", at positions 28 to 1381 of the family's 1533-position model. The record is from RNAcentral.
GACGAACGCUGGCGGCGUGCUUAACACAUGCAAGUCGAACGGAAAGGCCCUGCUUUUGUGGGGUGCUCGAGUGGCGAACGGGUGAGUAACACGUGAGUAACCUGCCCUUGACUUUGGGAUAACUUCAGGAAACUGGGGCUAAUACCGGAUAGGAGCUCCUGCUGCAUGGUGGGGGUUGGAAAGUUUCGGCGGUUGGGGAUGGACUCGCGGCUUAUCAGCUUGUUGGUGGGGUAGUGGCUUACCAAGGCUUUGACGGGUAGCCGGCCUGAGAGGGUGACCGGCCACAUUGGGACUGAGAUACGGCCCAGACUCCUACGGGAGGCAGCAGUGGGGAAUAUUGCACAAUGGGCGGAAGUCUGAUGCAGCAACGCCGCGUGCGGGAUGACGGCCUUCGGGUUGUAAACCGCUUUCGCCUGUGACGAAGCGUGAGUGACGGUAAUGGGUAAAGAAGCACCGGCUAACUACGUGCCAGCAGCCGCGGUGAUACGUAGGGUGCGAGCGUUGUCCGGAUUUAUUGGGCGUAAAGGGCUCGUAGGUGGUUGAUCGCGUCGGAAGUGUAAUCUUGGGGCUUAACCCUGAGCGUGCUUUCGAUACGGGUUGACUUGAGGAAGGUAGGGGAGAAUGGAAUUCCUGGUGGAGCGGUGGAAUGCGCAGAUAUCAGGAGGAACACCAGUGGCGAAGGCGGUUCUCUGGGCCUUUCCUGACGCUGAGGAGCGAAAGCGUGGGGAGCGAACAGGCUUAGAUACCCUGGUAGUCCACGCUGUAAACGGUGGGUACUAGGUGUGGGGUCCAUUCCACGGGUUCCGUGCCGUAGCUAACGCUUUAAGUACCCCGCCUGGGGAGUACGGCCGCAAGGCUAAAACUCAAAGGAAUUGACGGGGCCCCGCACAAGCGGCGGAGCAUGCGGAUUAAUUCGAUGCAACGCGUAGAACCUUACCUGGGUUUGACAUGGAUCGGGAGUGCUCAGAGAUGGGUGUGCCUCUUUUGGGGUCGGUUCACAGGUGGUGCAUGGCUGUCGUCAGCUCGUGUCGUGAGAUGUUGGGUUAAGUCCCGCAACGAGCGCAACCCUUGUUCACUGUUGCCAGCACGUUAUGGUGGGGACUCAGUGGAGACCGCCGGGGUCAACUCGGAGGAAGGUGGGGAUGACGUCAAGUCAUCAUGCCCCUUAUGUCCAGGGCUUCACGCAUGCUACAAUGGCUGGUACAGAGAGUGGCGAGCCUGUGAGGGUGAGCGAAUCUCGGAAAGCCGGUCUCAGUUCGGAUUGGGGUCUGCAACUCGACCUCAUGAAGUCGGAGUCGCUAGUAAUCGCAGAUCAGCAACGCUGCGGUGAAUACGUUCCCGGGGCU